CAGGAGUCCAUUCUGACUUCUAGAGAGUGCCCUGGAGCAGUCCACAGGAAGGUGCUGGAAAAGGCAGCCGCAGAUAGUCCAGCAUCCAACCUAGUGUCAUGCACACAGUUGGGACUCAGCCACUGUUGCCUGAUUGAUAAUGAAGACAGUCACUGUGAUCAACCCAACAGUAAUUGAACGUUCAUUUUUAAUAAGAGAUGAGGAAACUGAAGCCUGAGAACAACAUGAAUUCUACAAUACAUUUACCGUCAGAAGGCAGCGGUGUCAACGGCCACGACGACACCUGGAACUGAUUCCAAGACUUGUGGUCACCGUGGGAAUGCUAUUUAUUGUACAUAGUGACUCACAAAUCUAGGUUAUGUGAACUAUAAAAAGCCUGACUCAGAA
Long non-coding RNA from Homo sapiens (human), 387 nucleotides. RefSeq lists it as uncharacterized. The transcript has 3 exons. The record is from RefSeq and is a predicted model, not a curated record. Lineage: Eukaryota; Metazoa; Chordata; Mammalia; Primates; Hominidae.